RNAcentral lists this long non-coding RNA (1385 nucleotides) under Mytilus galloprovincialis (Mediterranean mussel). Lineage: Eukaryota; Metazoa; Mollusca; Bivalvia; Mytilida; Mytilidae. The record is from RNAcentral.
GCCCUGAAAUUUUUAGAUGAAUCGGACAACCCGUUGUUGGGUUGCUGCCCCUGAAUCGGUAAAUUUAAGAAAAUUUUGCUGUUUUUUGUUAUUAUCUUGAAUAUUAUUAUAGAUAGAGAUAAACUGCAAACAGCAAUAAUGUUCAGCAAAGUAAGAUUUACAAAUAAGUCAACAUGACCAAAAUGGUCAAUUGACCCCCUAAGGAGUAAUUGUCCUUUACAGUCAAUUUUUAACAAUUUUCAUAAAAUUUGUAAAUUUUAUUAACAUUUUCCGCUGAAACUACUGGGCCAAGUUCAUUGUAGAUAGAGAUAUUGUAAGCAACAAGACUGUUUAGUAAAGUAAGAUGCACAAGCAACAAACACAUCACUAUCACCAAAGCACAAUUUUGUCAUGAAUUCAUCUGCUUCCUUUGUUUAAUAUUCACAUAUACCAAGGUGAGCGACACAGGCUCUUUACAGCCUCUAGUUAUGUUUAUAUUUACAUUCUACAACGGUACGUACCUGUUUUCAUAAUGAUUACUUAAAGAUGCCCAUUAAACAAAAUUCUAUUUAUCAUUAGUAAGGAGGUAAUUUUUUCACUAUAAAAUUAUAUGUAUAUAUAAAUGUAUGAAACAUAAACAAAUUCUAAGUCGGAAUGCUUUACAAAGAUCUUAUUUUAAUACUUCAAAAACAAACAUACUGAAAUUGAAACAAAACAAAAACGAGAUUUUGUCUCCUAUCAGGUUAUAAUUUUUUUCUAUUUAUAAAAUAUAAAUCAAUGUACAUUUCAAUCCCACCUAUUUCUGCGUUGAUAAACGGUUAAGGAUUAAUGUAGCUGAAGGACAAAAUAACUACAAUUCGUUUGCAUAUAUCAAACUAAAAUGAUAAUUGCAGAUGCUUAAAUUCGCUGGAAUAGACAGUUCAAAAUGCUGACAAAGGUUAUUGUCGAAUUAUUUUAAAUAUAAUACAAAUCAUAUUGCUGAUUUUAGUUUGGUUUUUUUUUAUUCCCCUAGGGAAAAUAUGAUGGGAUAUAUUACAAACGUAGAGGUUAUUGUUCAUGGUCCAACGUGUUACUUGGCAAUGUAUGUAACAGUCUUUCUAAUUGUAUAGGUUUUGAGUUUUCUCAGAAUUUUCAUUAUUAUUAUCCAGUGGGUAACGAGGAGAUUCUGCAUUACUUUUUUAAUUGUCCGAAUAGUGUUUGCACAUCAUCAAAUGGUAUAGUUUGCUAGGAUGGUCGUCGUUUUCCAAUAUUACUGUUUGUAGCCAAGUAUACUAUGACAUUGUGUACAUAAUUUAUUUCAUCUACACCAUUGUCAUACUUCUGUAUGUCUGUCGUGUUUCUUUUAUGGAUUAUAUACAAUUGCCAAAGAAAUGGUAAUUUAUGUCGUUCAGUUUUUAUAAUCCGUC